Long non-coding RNA from Apis cerana (Asiatic honeybee), 3031 nucleotides. RefSeq lists it as uncharacterized. NCBI's taxonomy places the organism in Eukaryota, Metazoa, Arthropoda, Insecta, Hymenoptera, Apidae. The record is from RefSeq and is a predicted model, not a curated record.
AGUGGUAUAGUUUCGUCGCAGCUGACAGCUGUCGCUGUUUGUUGGCACGCGCCAACAGUCACCAAACCAUCAGGUGCAUCAUUACACCGGGCUCCAUUCAUUUGUGAAACUUUUUCAUCUUUUCUUUUCUUUUAUUUCAUUACCUCAUUUUCUCCUUAGCGACAAUACUAAGUAAAUUCGAUCGAGAUGAAGCAAUGUCAGUUGCUCGAAAUAUGUAUCACAUUGUAAGAGUUUUUAGAUUAAAAUUUUAAGGUUAUAGAAUUUUUAUAAGUUUUAAAAACAAUAAUUAAAUAUUAAUUUAACAAUGAAGUUUUUAAUAUUAAGAAUAAGUUAAUAUUAAAAAUAAGUUUUUUCUACAUAAUAAUCGAAUUUUUUCAUUUAAUUAUCUUUUUCAUUUAUUUUUCUUAAUUAUCUUCCUCUCAGCGAACAUUAUCUUUCACAAGUAACUAUCAUAUGAGUUCCUUAAUUAAAGGUAAUAUUAUCCUCGAAGCUUUGCUCUUUCUUUGUAAAAGUUUUGAUUAAUAUGAAUAAACAUUUUCAAAAUCAUUAGAAAAGCAACGUAAAUCUACGUAACAACGUAAAAUCUACAUAAUUGUAAUUAAAGCUUUAAAUCCUUUUUCAUAUUUUAAAUAUUUUCAUAGAAAUUAUAAUUCUGACAUAUUGUCAAAUGUAAAUCCAGUAAUAUCAACAAAGAUGAAAUUACAAAAAACUUUUUAUUCUUUUAAAGUUGAGAUUCUUUUGUCUCUCUUUUGAUUUUAUUAAUAUAACUCUUUUGAUAUUAUUAAUAUAAUACAUAAAUAAUACAUAUUAUAAAAUAUUAAUUUAUACAUAGAAAAUGUUGCAUUAAUUCGAUUUCAGUUUAAAAAUAACUUGAGAAAAACAACGAAAAAUAUAAAAAUUUAGUUGUAUAUAUAGAUAAUUCUUCAAAAGACUCGAGUAGCAAACAACAUAUGAAUUUAUUUAUAUGUAGGUAGUGUCAUUUUAUCGGUCGCGUAACACGAGCUCGACGAUCACCGCCGUAUUGUCGUUGUCAAAUUAUCUGAUCAGCUCAUUACACAUACGACAUAUGCUGUCCCUUAAAAUAACUCAAAGUUCAAGCUGCUCGGAGUCAGUUGGCACUUGAGGCUAAAAAACUUUUCCCCCUGAUUCGUCCCAGCCUGUUGCGUAUACGCAACGGUCUAUGAAGAGACCAAGUGUGACAAGGUGGUCAAAGGGUUGCGCACGUGUUCGAGCGGACAAAACGCUUCAAGUGCGGCAAACUGCACGCAGUGGUGUCACGGCACGCUGGACUUUUCCCCCUUUACCUUUUGACUGUUGCAUCGGGGAUCGUUCAGCCCCGAGGGUGAAACGAAUCGACGCAGCUGCGCCGUCCACGCUGAUAAUUAUCUCCGUUCGCUACCACCCUAUUGUUUCUUGAACAACCGCCUCCCUAUAUCCAUAAGCUGACUCUUGGCCUGGUUACGAGCCUUCCUUUUUCAGGCCCCGCGGGUCCUCCUACGCAGCUGCCUUUCGAAGGGAUGCAUGAGAAUAAGAGGAUACUGUUCGAGGCUGUUGCAACAAGGAGAGUUAAUUUUUUAUCGUACUGAAAAAUCGUUGUCGAUUCUGCGAGAAGAAGAAGAGUUGCUCCGUCACGUCGCAUAUAUUUUAAUACGAUUUUUCUAAUGAAAUAUAAAAUUUCAGAAUAUUUGCUUUUUUUUUUUUUUGAAUUUUUGUUUUAACAUAUUUAAUUAUAUUACCGUCUCGACAAACGUGGUUAUCCUUAACCUAAAAUUGGAAAUCUGCAGCGAGAUGAAAAGAGGAGAGUAUUAAAAAAGAGACUUGUUUUAAAACAAUCCCAUUUCUACAAUUUUAUAUUAAAAAAGAAGAAGAGGAAGAGGUAGAAGAAGCUUUCUCAAUGAGUUAAAUUGUUUAAUAAAUAAAAUUUUUCUUGCGCCAGUUUCUUCGACUUCGGUGCAGGAGAAGUCUGUAGCUUACUUUAUGAUGUGAAAAAAAAAGAAAGAAAAAAAAAAAAAAAGAAAGAGGAUCAGCCACGUUUCCGGCGGCUCUUUUCACGGUGCUACGGAAAAAAUGGGAACGCGGUUCUUUAGAGAGGUGUUUUCGUGCGCACCGCCUCUUUAGAGAAAAUUUUCAAAGAAACGCGUUGAAUUUGCUUAUAAAAACAGGAAAAAAAAAACCGAAAAAAUACACGUCGGCGUAGAAUUUAUAGUAUAAACAUUUAAACCAGAUGAAUUUCGGUUAUUGUAAUUAAAUGGGUAUUGAGAGAUAACGAAAUUUGUAAAAUUUGUAUGAAAAAAAAUUAUACUCUCUUUAUUCCUAAAAUUAGAAUUUGACUACUAUUUUAAUAAUUGUCUAAUAUUUUUAAUAUACAAGUUUCAUUAGCUAUUUGAAUACAUUGAUCUGUUAUCCAAUAACAUUUCAUUUAUUAUUUUUUUCUGAUCUUAAAAUUUAUCCUACCUUUAUAUUGUAUUUUUAUUUUCUUGGUUCGUAUGCAUAUACUCGCCGUGAAAUUUCAUUCUAACCGAUAAACAAAUAAACAAUUCGACAGGUAAAACAAACAAAGCUCGCCAAGCCAAUUACUCUUCUACGUUGCUAGUAGGAAAAUAGAUGGAGGAAAAACAAAGAUGCUUAAGAGGACGAAGAUUCACGAAGUGUUGGUUAUUUCGAAAAUGAAAAGUUGUUGGAAAAUGAAGAAAGCGAACUUGAGCUGAAAACCGUCAAAUUGCAAUUUGAUGCAUGGGCCGGCUUUCAAAGUUGCUUUUGCAAAUCGUUCGAGCGUGCGCUUGCUAACGAGCCGGCCGAAAUUAAUGAGCAACGACUUACUGCCUUAAGAUGGUUAGGUUAGGUUUAGAAAAACUGUAUGAUAAUACGUUGUCUUUAUUCCGGCGAUAUUCGCACGAUGAACCAGAGAUUUUACUAUACUUAUCGAAAAGAUACGUUUACCAUCGAGAAGACAAAUUUGAAAUUAUGUUAUAAAUAAUAUGAAAAAUUUUAAAAAAGAAGGAAAUAAAUUAAAAUUUAUACAGAUAUAAAA